GGAGUCUGGUCCGUGUCUCAGUACCAGUGUGGGGGUUUAGCCUCUCAGCUCCCCUAGACAUCGUCGCCUUGGUAAGCCGUUGCCUUACCAACUAGCUAAUGUCACGCAUGCCCAUCCCGUACCACCGAAGCUUUAGUCACCUGACCAUGCGAUCCAGUGACUCCAUGGGAUAUUAGUGGAAAUUUCUCCCCGUUAUCCCCCUGUACAGGGUAGGUUGCAUACGCGUUACGCACCCGUGCGCCGGUCGCCAUCAAAGGAAGCAAGCUUCCUUCAUGCUGCCCCUUGACUUGCAUGUGUUAAGCCUGUAGCUAGCGUUCAUC
This 320-nucleotide ribosomal RNA is filed under the name uncultured Bacteroidales bacterium. RNAcentral's name for it is "partial 16S ribosomal RNA". Lineage: Bacteria; Pseudomonadati; Bacteroidota; Bacteroidia; Bacteroidales. The record is from RNAcentral.